Molecule: unclassified non-coding RNA, 529 nt
Filed under: Hevea brasiliensis (rubber tree)
Lineage: Eukaryota; Viridiplantae; Streptophyta; Magnoliopsida; Malpighiales; Euphorbiaceae
Source: RNAcentral
GAAUAUGUGCACAAUCGUCAAGUAUACCUUUCUAGAACCUUUUUUACCUGUUAAUUUGACAGUUCUGAAUCUCUUAUGCUUGAAACUUAAUAUGUUGUAUUCUUUGCGUUCUUCUGUUCUUUUAUUGAUAAGUGGUAUAGUGUAAAAAGCUCACAAGUUAAUUUAUCCCUUUGGCUGGAUAUGGCAACCAAGCAAGGUUGUAUAUGAGAAAAAUUAUGCAUGUGAUUAUUCUUUUCUUUUUCCCCCAUUUUGUAUAAAUAUCAUGCUCAAAGUUCAUUUAAUCAGUAUUUACUCAUCUUUUGUAAUAUGUUAAGAUCAUAGCAUUUGUAUUUUUAAAUAGCAGAAGUACUAGCCAUAUGACUUACUAAUUUCUAAUUUCUUAAUUGAUUAAAAUAUCAUGUUUUAAAAUUCGUUUAAUCUGCUCCUUUGUUAUCUUGGACAUAUGAUUGUAUCGGAGUAAAAUAUAAAGAAACAAGAGGCAUUCAAAUGGUUUUGUUUAUUGUAGGUUGUUCACUUUCGGUCUCUGGAA